UGUGACCAAGGGCCAGGAAGGCUUUGCUGACCUUUUCUGCUCUUUUCUUUGGGGAGCCAGUCUCCGCCCCCUCUUUUCCCACCUUGGCUCCUGCCCAGGCUUGGGGCCGACCUCCUGAACUUUGGCCCAAGGUCAAGGCUUUCACAAGGCCGGAAGCAGUGAAGGUGGGGGCUCAAUUAUGACCAAAAAAUGACAUGGGCUGGAGUUGACCCAGGGUUCAGAGAGAAGAGGAAUGAGGAAAGGCCUGUUUUCAGAGGCUCUGGGAGGACAUAUGCCUGGAGGGAAUGGCCUUCUUCUCAAAGGAAGCAAAGUGCUUAUAUUGAGAGAGGUCCUGAGAGAUCCUAUUUGCUCAUCCUGCUUUUUUUUUGCGGAUGGGGAAACCGAGGCCUAGCAAUGGGAAGGGACUUGGCCAAAGUCACACAGGCCAACCAUCCAGGGAAUAAUGAAGGGCAGCUAAGCCCUUCCUCUCUCGGAGUAACUUCUGACCGGCUGCUCAUCUGUCCUCCCGCUGUCCUCACUUUGGCUGCCCCGGUGGGGAGCUCACCCACAGUGCUGACAUCUCCUGGUUACUUGUGUCUCUCCAACCGGACUGUGAGUCCCUGAGGUCAGGGAUGGGCCCUGUGUCCUGUUCCACAGAUAUGCCCUCAAUAAAGACUACAGUGGAGGGAUGAAAGAUCCUUGCAGUAAGUCCUGCUCAUCACGUGGAAAACAGCCGCCACAAGGAACCUGAGGUCAGAGCAUUUUGGAAUCCCCAUGGUGGACAAAGCCAAAGGAAGUGGACACUCUGGUCUCCCCAGGGAAACAUUUUUCCAGCGAGCAGUAUCAUUCCCUGGACAGGCCACGGAGGACAAGUUCAAGGGUCUUUCCCCCGAGUGUUUCACUGUGAGGAUCUUCAUAAAACAUGAAGUACAAACUUCACGUUCUCACCACAGAGGUGGCUGAAGCAAACAGUA
Felis catus (domestic cat) is the source of this 953-nucleotide long non-coding RNA. RefSeq lists it as uncharacterized. The record is from RefSeq and is a predicted model, not a curated record. Lineage: Eukaryota; Metazoa; Chordata; Mammalia; Carnivora; Felidae. The transcript has 3 exons.